AGGCUUCGGGUGCGAGGCUUCGGGUUCGAGGCUUCGGGUGCGAGGCUUCGGGUGCGAGGCUUCGGGUGCGAGGCUUCGGGUGCGAGGCUUCGGGUGCGAGGCUUCGGGUGCGAGGCUUGCUGAGGUACCUCAACCCUCUCCCUACUUCAGAUUCCAAAACACAUGGGAAAUCUUGGUUGUGAUAUAUUUAAGCAAUAAGGCCCGAGGCGGUGUGGUAUAUGGCCAAUUUACCACGGCUAAGGGCUGUUCUUAUGCACGACGCAACACGGUAUGGAUACACCCCUUAGCCGUGGUAUUUUGGCCAUAUAUCACAAAUCCCAGAGGUGCCUUAUUGCUUAUAAACUGGUUACCAACGUAAUUAGAACAAAACAUUAUUAUAAUUUUUUUCAUACCCAUGGUAUAUGGUCUGAUAUAACACGGCUUUCAGCCAAUCAAAUUAAAUUGUAUUUCACGUGCCGAAUACAACAGACCUUACUGUGAAAUGCAAGCCCUUAACCAACAAUGUGGUUUAAGAAAUUGUUAAAAUAUUUACUAAAUGAACUAAAGAUAUAAAAAUGUACAAGUAACACAACACAAUAAAAUAACAAUAACGAGGCUAUAAACAGGGUAUUACGGUACAGAGUCAAUGUGGAGGCUAUAUACAGGGGGGUACUGGUGCAGAGUCAAUGUGGAGGCUAUAUACAGGGGGUACCGGUACAGAGUCAAUGUGGAGGCUAUAUACAGGGUAUUACGGUACAGAGUCAAUGUGGAGGCUAUAUACAGGGGGGUACUGGUACAGA
This 779-nucleotide long non-coding RNA is filed under the name Salmo salar (Atlantic salmon). RNAcentral describes it as "lncRNA (ENSSSAG00000110628.1, ENSSSAG00000120784.1)". The record is from RNAcentral. Lineage: Eukaryota; Metazoa; Chordata; Actinopteri; Salmoniformes; Salmonidae.